AAUCCGUCGACUUUUGAAAUCGUGAGGGUUCAAGU
This 35-nucleotide transfer RNA is filed under the name Filipendula vulgaris. Its description in RNAcentral is "partial tRNA-Leu". The record is from RNAcentral. Lineage: Eukaryota; Viridiplantae; Streptophyta; Magnoliopsida; Rosales; Rosaceae.